This 887-nucleotide non-coding RNA is filed under the name Rhinella festae (Valle Santiago beaked toad). The record is from RNAcentral. Lineage: Eukaryota; Metazoa; Chordata; Amphibia; Anura; Bufonidae.
GUCAUAUACACAUGCAAGUAUCCGCCCCCCUGUGAAAACGCCCUUAACCCCCUCCCAGGAACAAGGAGCUGGUAUCAGGCACAUACAUGCCCAAAACACCUAGCUAUGCCACACCCACAAGGGAAUUCAGCAGUGAUUAACAUUGAGAAUUAGCGCAAGCUUGACUCAGUCAAAGUAACAUAGAGCCGGCUAAUCUGGUGCCAGCCGCCGCGGUUACACCACGUGGCUCAAAUUGACCCUAUUCGGCGUAAAGCGUGAUUAAAGGAGUUAAACUAAAACUAAGCCGUAGCACGCCUGUUUAUUAAGAAACUCUAAAACGAAAGUUACUCUAAUUUAAUCAACUUGAAUUCACGACAGCUGAGGAACAAACUGGGAUUAGAUACCCCACUAUGCUCAGCCGUAAACUUUAAAUUACAUUCCAUCGCCAGGGAACUACGANNNNNNNNNNNNNNNNNNNNNNNNNNNNGGGCCCCACAUCCCCCUAGAAGGAGCCUGUCCUACAAUCGAUAAUCCCCGUUUAACCUCACCAUUUCUAGUUAAUCAGCCUGUAUACCUCCGUCGUCAGCUUACCACGUGAGCGUCAAUUAGUGAGCCUAAUGUUUUUCACCAACACGUCAGGUCAAGGUGCAGUAAAUGAAAUGGAAAGAGAUGGGCUACACUUUCUAUUUUAGAAGAAACGGAAAACUACCUAUGAAACCUAGUUGGAAGGCGGAUUUAGCAGUAAAAAGGAAUCAGAACAUCCAUUUUAACUCGGCACUGGGGUGUGUACACACCGCCCGUCACCCUCUUCAAAGCUACAAUAAGUAUCAACUAACUAAAGCACAACAGAAGAGGCAAGUCGUAACAUGGUAAGUAUACCGGAAGGUGUGCUUGGAAACGCAAUGUAG